This 403-nucleotide ribosomal RNA is filed under the name bacterium. RNAcentral describes it as "partial 16S ribosomal RNA". It matches the Rfam family "Bacterial small subunit ribosomal RNA", at positions 355 to 776 of the family's 1533-position model. The record is from RNAcentral.
UGGGGAAUAUUGCACAAUGGGGGAAACCCUGAUGCAGCGACGCCGCGUGAACGAAGAAGGUAUUCGUAUCGUAAAGUUCUGUCCUAUGGGAAGAUAAUGACAGUACCAUAGAAGAAAGCUCCGGCUAAAUACGUGCCAGCAGCCGCGGUAAUACGUAUGGAGCGAGCGUUGUCCGGAAUUAUUGGGCGUAAAGGGUACGCAGGCGGUUUAAUAAGUCGAAUGUUAAAGAUCGGGGCUCAACCCCGCAAAGCAUUGGAAACUGAUAAACUUGAGUAGUGGAGAGGAAAGUGGAAUUCCUAGUGUAGAGGUGAAAUACGUAGAUAUUAGGAGGAAUACCAGUAGCGAAGGCGACUUUCUGGACACAAACUGACGCUGAGGUACGAAAGCGUGGGGAGCAAACAGG